AUGAACGCUGGCGGCGUGCCUAAUACAUGCAAGUCGAGCGAACAGAUAAGGAGCUUGCUCCUUUGACGUUAGCGGCGGACGGGUGAGUAACACGUGGGUAACCUACCUAUAAGACUGGAAUAACUCCGGGAAACCGGGGCUAAUGCCGGAUAACAUUUAGAACCGCAUGGUUCUAAAGUGAAAGAUGGUUUUGCUAUCACUUAUAGAUGGAUCCGCGCCGUAUUAGCUAGUUGGUAAGGUAACGGCUUACCAAGGCAACGAUACGUAGCCGACCUGAGAGGGUGAUCGGCCACACUGGAACUGAGACACGGUCCAGACUCCUACGGGAGGCAGCAGUAGGGAAUCUUCCGCAAUGGGCGAAAGCCUGACGGAGCAACGCCGCGUGAGUGAUGAAGGUCUUCGGAUCGUAAAACUCUGUUAUUAGGGAAGAACAAAUGUGUAAGUAACUGUGCACGUCUUGACGGUACCUAAUCAGAAAGCCACGGCUAACUACGUG
Molecule: ribosomal RNA, 496 nt
Filed under: uncultured bacterium
Lineage: Bacteria
Description: partial 16S ribosomal RNA
Rfam family: Bacterial small subunit ribosomal RNA
Source: RNAcentral